AGGAGAGAGCUGGGAGGUGACGGGAAGGGGAGAUCCACUGGCCUGAAUGCUCCUGAUUGGUGGAGAGACAGGUAGAUAAAGAGGUGACCACCAAAUCUGGUGACAGGAGGUCUGUCUGAAACCGUGACCAGAGCAGUUUCAGUGAGUAGGUCGUGGGCACUGGCUGGACGGGAUUGACGGAAACGUGGAUGUGGCUGGUAGAGACAGCAAAUACACAGAGGCCGCUUUUGACGAGUUUUGCUGACUAAUGACUCAAAACCACGCAUGUCGGCUAUAGGCUCACGGCCAGUCCCUUUCACUGCUGCGGAGCUUUGACUCCACAAAGCGCCUACUAUGGGCCGGCUUAUUACUUGUCUGUGACCCUGAUGAGGCAUUCUUUUCCUGAUAGUUUGUUGGGAAGAUGGACGGAAGACAUCAGAAACCCACGCAUGGAGAUUCAAGAAAAAGCUGGCAGUGGGCGUCUGCAGGAAAACCAUUCUCUCUUCGAACAAUCUGAAGUCUCUGGAGUAUCGACAAGAUGCCUCUAGGCCUGUGCUGUCCAAGGCCGUAGCCACCUGUGGCCUUCCAACACUUGAAAAUGAAGCUGGUCAAAUUUGAAAAAUGCCAUUUGACUCGUAACAGACUUUGAAGGCUUCGUAUGAAAGAAAGAAAGUAAAAUAUUGCAGUAGUUUUUCUAUUGAUGAUACGCUGAAAGGAUCACACUUUGGACAUACUGGGUUAAAGGAAACAUAUUGUUAAAGUUAAUGCAGUCUGUUUCUGUUUCCAUUUUUAAUGUGUCUGCUAGAAAAUUUAGAAGCCCAACUGCACGGCUCCCCCUUUGGUGCUACGCUGACCUGCUUGUCCUGAAGCAGCUGAGGGCCACCCUGUUGGAGGGGAGGGGAGAAGGCUCAUCUUGAAGUUCCUGUGCAAAACAGGUCCUGUUUUCCCCUUGAGGGUGUGUUGGGGGCCAAAGUUUCCUUUCAGGGGCUGCUGGAUGUCACUUGCGAGUGAAGGUGCUGUAACUCUUUCAUCAGGGAGCUCGUCUACCCCACAGCAACUAGAUGUUGCUUCCUACAGUUCCCAGGGCUUUUCUCCCUCCCCCCUCCUCUUUUUCCUUUUCUUUCUCCCUCAAAAAGCGUGAUUGUGUAAUUGGCUUAUCAUACGUUUUCACAACUAUGCAGCCACCACCACAAUCCAGUUUUAGGACAGUUCCAGCACCCUGAAGCUUUUCCUCACACUUUUUUGUACUCAAUCCCUGUUCCCAGCAGCCUCUAGGAAACCACUGAUUUGCUUUCCAUAGCCAUAGUAUCUCCUCUUUGCAGAAAUUUCAUGUAAAUGGGAUCAAACAAUGGGUGGUCUUUUGUGUCUGGCUCCUCUCUAUUAGCGCAUUGGUUUCCAGGUUUAUCCGCGUUUGCAGGGCCGCUGUGGCCAGCUCCAACGUUUUAGCCUAGAGGAGAGAGAAAGCGGUGGAAGGAAAUUUCGGG
Molecule: long non-coding RNA, 1463 nt
Filed under: Capra hircus (goat)
Lineage: Eukaryota; Metazoa; Chordata; Mammalia; Artiodactyla; Bovidae
Description: lncRNA (ENSCHIG00010001177.1)
Source: RNAcentral